GACGAACGCUGGCGGCGUGCCUAAUACAUGCAAGUUGAGCGCUGAAGGUUGGUACUUGUACCAACUGGAUGAGCAGCGAACGGGUGAGUAACGCGUGGGGAAUCUGCCUUUGAGCGGGGGACAACAUUUGGAAACGAAUGCUAAUACCGCAUAAAAACUUUAAACACAAGUUUUAAGUUUGAAAGAUGCAAUUGCAUCACUCAAAGAUGAUCCCGCGUUGUAUUAGCUAGUUGGUGAGGUAAAGGCUCACCAAGGCGAUGAUACAUAGCCGACCUGAGAGGGUGAUCGGACACAUUGGGACUGAGACACGGCCCAAACUCCUACGGGAGGCAGCAGUAGGGAAUCUUCGGCAAUGGACGAAAGUCUGACCGAGCAACGCCGCGUGAGUGAAGAAGGUUUUCGGAUCGUAAAACUCUGUUGGUAGAGAAGAACGUUGGUGAGAGUGGAAAGCUCAUCAAGUGACGGUAACUACCCAGAAAGGGACGGCUAACUACAUG
RNAcentral lists this ribosomal RNA (497 nucleotides) under uncultured bacterium. Its description in RNAcentral is "partial 16S ribosomal RNA". It matches the Rfam family "Bacterial small subunit ribosomal RNA", at positions 28 to 507 of the family's 1533-position model. The record is from RNAcentral.